CGGCUCUGUAGGUGACAGGAAUAUAAAUUCGGCGUUUCCAGCGUAAGAGUAUCAAAGCAUUCUUAAUCCCUUUAACAUUAGCAGCUGUCUCUAAGACUAACGGUGCUCAACCUCACAAUGGCCUCAGAACGUCUCUUGUGCAAGGCUGGAUUGUUGGUCCUGGUGGCCUGUGUGAUACUGAAUCUCCAAGGAGCAGGUGAGAAAUCAUUCUGGGUUAUGAAAUCUGUUUCUCCAUAUUCUCCUAUUUUUCUAUGUGACUCUCUGUACCUGGGCAGCGUCAUUAGCUCAUUCUGUCUUUGUUACAAUAGGUUCCAUGCUAUCGAGAAGGGAUUUCACCAUAUUACACUUUCUUGUCUUUUCAUCUAAACUCAGUCUUUUUCAUGUAGUCUUUGCGUUUUAUUCUUUAAAAUUAGAAUUGUGGAAAAUCAACAAAGGAUUAACAAAUGUAUGCUGAAUGAACCAAGCAUAAAAAUAUAGAUAAUACGGAGACAGUUUCCAAACUGGAUAUUUGUUUUUAUGUAAAAUUAGCAAUACCAGUACCAGCAAUCCCUGUACCAAUACCAGCAAUACCGAUCCCCACAAUACAGGAUUGGGUAUUGGUUGAGCAUUCCGUGUAGGGAAGGAUAUACUAAAAUGUGUAUGUCUACUUCAGAAAUGGACUAUAUAUAACCAAUUUUUUAUAAGCAGGAACAUUCUCUCACAUGUUCUGAAGAAGAUUUAUAACUUUUACUCUUCCUCUUGUGACACUCAUUUCCUUUCAACUCACUUUGAACUUUAUCCUAUUCCUUUUGCUGCUCUUUCCGUAAAAUCAACAUACUGCACUAUGUCAUCCCUUUCCUUGUUUUCUCCACAUUCUUCUAUCAAUAAGAUACUGUGACACUAUUUGCAUAUCUGUAGACAGAAAAAAUAAACUUGAUCUACAGAUUUGUUGAGGCUUAUAAUGAAUAGGAGACAUGUUUGGUAUUCAGAAAUCCAUCUGCAUGCAUAUCUUACACGGUUUCUUCCUUUUUCCCAGUUUUGAAUUGUUUCUCGUCUUUAUCAUUCACUCAGCUAUGAGUAUGCACUGACUCGUGGACCCUAUCCCAACUUCACUCACAGACCAAUUUAGCUUGGUCUAACUCUCCCCUCUCGCUUCCCUCCAAAAUCACAGUGUAGUGAGAGACUUGAAGGAUUAUUCACUAAAAUGAGAAUUGAAUUAAAAGUCAAUUUGGAUUGUUCUCCUUGGCCUUUGUAUUGUCUUUUGUUCUGCAGACUGUAAUAAUAUUGCUAUUUGUGCUGUUCCCUUCUACAAUGUUAUUGAAAACGACCUUUACAAAUGCUACCAAAUUUCUUAAAAAUAAAUCAUUUCAAUAACUUUGAAAAUAAAAAAGUGAGUAUCAAAUAUAAGGUCAAAAUGACUGAACUAUAAAUAUUUUCCAGAUCAGCUCUGCUUUCAGUCUGUCUUCAUGAAUUUCACACCUUCAUGGUUCUUAAAGGGAUCCUAUAGUGCCAGGAAAACAAGGUUGUUUUCCUGGCACGAUAAGGUUAAUAGGACCCCCUAACAUUUCAAUGCUUUCCUAUAGGAAAAAUCUGACGCUGGAGGUCCUUGAGGUCGUCCAGCGUCAGAUAACGGACCAAAAGUCAGUUUGGAUUCCGGAAGCCCUCCAGGGGUUCUGGUAGACAACCACAGAGGGCAGACUUAGAGCUGCAAUGUAAGCAUGUUUUACAUGGCAGCACUAUGUGCAAAAAGGUCACAGCACCCAGACUACUUCAAUGAGCUGACAUGGUCUGGGUGCCCAGAGUGUUCCUUUAAUGUGUAUUUACUACAGGUAGAAUUCAAAGUGAAUUUCCAGUUUUAGCCCAAAGUAGCCAAACAUGAAGCACUUGACUUCAGUGAAUGUUUCCAAUCUUGAAAUUUGGGAAAUUGACUUUGAAAUUCUGAUUUAGUAAAUAACUGCUGUAUUGUUUGUGAAUCUAAAUCUUCCAGCAAUUCAUUGUAACUUAUUGUAACUCUUUAUCAUUGCAGACGCCCAGACAAACACCACCAGUACCGGUAUGUAUAAAACAUAUUAUGCAAGAAAUUACCAAGAGAUAGAAAGACAGGAGAAUGAUUAGUUCUAGGGGUGAUAGAGCCGCAUUGCAUGACCCAGUGACAGGACAUUGCAAGACACAGAGUCCAGGUGAAAUGGGGGAGGGGGACUUUAUCAUGUCUCAAUAAACAACAUUACUUUGUAUUUCUAAUACAGUUAUAAGAGAACCUAACCCCCAGAAUAUAUAAAUGUACCUCUCCGUACCUCCCAUCAAUUCAAAUGGUCAAAGAGGGACAUAUUGUGGCCAGGGGCAGGGCUGUCCUGAGAACCUUUAUCUGCCUAGCUAAUCGAACGUUAUGAAACUAAAGCGUGAUUCAGAAGAACAACGUAUCUUAUGUACACAGACUGAUUUCUAACAAUAUGGAACUCUUAGAAAAGAGGGACAGAGGGAUUUGGGCACAAAAUAAGGAUCUCUUAAAUAGGGACACUUGGGAGGUAUGCCAAUCUACCAGCUCUUAUCUGAAUACACAAUUAUUGAGACAAAGGAGACACAGCACAAUAUAUACCCCACUCCCUGAGCAAUACACAACACAAUGCUUAGUUUAGUUCAAGGCUAGCUGACUCAGCGUAAAGUGACUUGUAAUUCAGAAUUUGGCAUACUGCGUCCUCUGUCUUGGCCUGAGCGUAUUGCUGCAUAGGACAGUGACACAGAUUUAGGUGAGCGUGCGUCCUGUAAUAAUACGAUGUAAUAAUACGAUGUGUUUCUUGUUAGGCGUGCCUGGCUGGGGUGUAGCACUCUUAGUGUUAACCUCUCUUAUCCUCUCCUCCCUGCUCUGCAGUAUGUGCUGUUUGGUAAGUUUGUUUAACUCAGUCACCUGUCAUAACUAUUGCCUUCAACACAGCAAUUAAACUGGCAAACAGCGCCUCUCCUACAUGUUUAUAUGAGUAACAUUGUAUCGGCCUGCUCCAUUUCAUAGAGUCCUAUAAUUAUCUCCUGAUGUUGGAUCCCCACCAUAACUAUUGUAUAAACAAAUCCCGUGAUUUCUUUGCAUACUUUGCUGGGAGACCACUCCACGUAUCCACAACCCAUCACUGAUCCAUCUCUUUUUCCCCCGACAGAUAACUUCUAACAGGGGCAAUAGUCAUUUAACUUCAUUUUUCCUGAUUUUAAUGUGUAGAUUUCACUCACUGCUGAUCUACGUCAUAGAAAAUCGCUGCUAAUUGUAAAAAUGUGAAAUAAAUAAAUAUUAAGUUUAAAUAAAAGCAAACAAAGAAAAACCUCCUCAGGGUAGUGACCGGUUUAUACAGGAACAAGGGUCGUAAUGUUGUUCUUUGUAAUGUAGUUUAUGUUUAUGGAAACUAUCAGACAUUUUCUAUUGUUUUAAUUAAUGACAAUAUGUUCUAAUACCUUUUUUCUCAGCCCUUGCUGUGUAAAAGCCAUGGGGGAAGCAGUCACUGUGGAUUUUCACUCGGAAAGUAACGCUGAGGUUCUCCUGAAGAAGAAUUAUUUGCUCUGCUAUUUAAUAAUAUUUUAAUUUUUUUUGUUUAUUUUUGUGUAUUCAAAUCCUCCUGGUCUGUUAAUGCUAAGCCUUGUGGGUAAACCUUAUAUAUUUAAAGUGUCAAAUCCCUUUCUUUUAUUGUAGGCUACAAACUCUAAAACAGCUGCUAAUCUACCUAUUGAGAGGAUUAAGCAUAUUGAAAGUCAGUUUUUCAGAUUCCCAUAAAAGCUGUCCUGGUCAAUCUGAGCCAGUCAUCCCCAUCAGUCCUAUUAUUAAAUUACCGACUGAUACCAGCUGUGGGUAAGAUUGUGAAGCAGUUACUUUGCCAGCCAGGGCGGCCUUUGUAAGAUUAUUGCGUUUGCCAAUCUCUAUCAAUUGGACUAUGAAGUCGAUUGUUAAUCUGGCCAUUAAUAGGUUUCACAUUGAUAAUACAUACAAAUCAGAUUUGUUUCAGCCAAGUAAUAUAGAAGUACAAAGCUGUAGAAUAGAUUUUUAAAAAUACACUAAAUUGGCCCUUAGUAUUUACCCCUUAAUACAUAGCACCAAAUAAAUCAUGGCUACUUUUGGAUUUGAAAUGCAUUUUGGUUCCAUUAGCCACACUGUGUUUUUACUCUGCAAUGCAUUGUGGUCCCAAUAGCAAAUAUGCAUUAUUUACUCUGCAUUUGCAAUGCAUUGUGGUCCCAUCACCCACAAUCUGGUAGCCAUUCUGAGUUUGCAAUGCGUUGUGGUCCCAUCACCCACAAUCUGGUAGCCAUUCUGAGUUUGCAAUGCAUUGUGGUCCCAUCACCCACAAUCUGGUAGCCAUUCUGAGUUUGCAAUGCAUUGUGGUCCCAUCACCCACAAUCUAGUAGCCAUUCUGAGUUUGCAAUGCAUUGUGGUCCCAUCACCCACAAUCUAGUAGCCAUUCUGAGUUUGCAAUGCAUUGUGGUCCCAUCACCCACAAUCUGGUAGCCAUUCGGUCCCAUUAGUUACAUUCUAUCAGUUCAUUUUUAGUUAUUCUGAGUAUACAAAGCAUUCUGGUUCCAUCACCCAAAAUCAUUUAGUUCUGAGUUUGCAAUGUCUUGUGUUUCCAUUAGUUACAAUCUAUUACAUACUUUCAGUUUGCCAUGUGUCAUAGCCCCUUCACCCACAAUCUAUUACUUACUCUGAGUUUGCAAUGUGUUAUGGUACCAUCAGCCAGAAUGUUUUAGUGACACUUGGGUUGCAAUGCUUGUUGGUCCCCUUAGCUACAAUAGAUUAGUGAUUCUGAGAGUACAAUGCAUUCUGGUGCAAUUAGCCAUUAUUUUUUGAUUAUUCUCAAUUUGAAAUGCAUGCUGGUCCUAUUCACAACACUCUAUUAGUGAUAUUGAGAUUGCAAUGCACUCUCUCUGAGAGUCCAAUUUAUAACUAAUCUUGACUUGGCAACAUGUUUUCCAAUUCUAGUAACAUUAUACAAUACACAUUCUUUGGGAGGAACACAUUGUGGCCCCAUUUACCAUUAUCUUGUACCAGUUUACGAUUUGAAAUACAUAUUGGAUUCUUUCACUCCAACUGUUUCUAUAUGUUGGUCCCUUUAUCAUUUACUUCGCUUUCCGCUUGUUAUAUUGUUACAUCAAUUUAAUUUUAUUAUAAAGAGCGUUUACAGUAAAAUAUGUUUCAACACAGGAAUGUGAACUGAAAAAUAGGUGAUAUCCUGAGAAAUGUAUUCUAAAAUCUGUGUAAAAUAUAACUUAUUAAAAGAUAUUUUAAAUAAUUAAGAUUUGCACUUGUC
Non-coding RNA from Pelobates cultripes (western spadefoot toad), 5258 nucleotides. The record is from the annotation of a GenBank genome assembly. NCBI's taxonomy places the organism in Eukaryota, Metazoa, Chordata, Amphibia, Anura, Pelobatidae.